This 207-nucleotide ribosomal RNA is filed under the name uncultured delta proteobacterium. RNAcentral's name for it is "partial 16S ribosomal RNA". It matches the Rfam family "Bacterial small subunit ribosomal RNA", at positions 568 to 774 of the family's 1533-position model. The record is from RNAcentral. Lineage: Bacteria; Deltaproteobacteria.
CGUGUAGGCUGUUUAUUAAGUCUGAUGUGAAAGCCCUGGGCUCAACCUGGGAAGUGCAUUGGAUACUGGUAGACUUGAGUACGGGAGAGGGCAGUGGAAUUCCCAGUGUAGGAGUGAAAUCCGUAGAUAUUGGGAGGAACACCGGUGGCGAAGGCGGCUGCCUGGACCGAUACUGACGCUGAGACGCGAAAGCGUGGGGAGCAAACA